RNAcentral lists this long non-coding RNA (221 nucleotides) under Paramuricea clavata. The record is from RNAcentral. Lineage: Eukaryota; Metazoa; Cnidaria; Anthozoa; Malacalcyonacea; Plexauridae.
GGGGGGGGGUGAAAAUUCCCCCAAAAAAAUUCGUGCAAAGAAAAAUGCCUGAAAAAAAAUUCGUGCAGCCAUUACGUCAGAGAAAAAAAAUUCGUGCAAGCAAACAGCAAAGUACAAGUUGUCUUGAAAAAAAAUUCGUGCAGAGGUUAAAUGCAUUAAAAAAAAUUCCUGCAGAGACAUGAGACUGAAAAAAAAAUUCGUGCCGCAAAAAUUUUAUACCC